UACGAAGGGGGUUAGCGUUGUUCGGAAUUACUGGGCGUAAAGGGUGCGCAGGCGGCCUGGCGCGUCGCGAGUGAAAUCUCCUGGCUCAACUGGGAGGGUGGUCGCGAGACGGCUGGGCUUGAGGCUCGGUGAGGGGCGUGGAAUUCCGGGUGGAGCGGUGAAAUGCGUAGAGAUCCGGAGGAACACCGACGGCGUAGGCAGCGCCCUAGACGAGACCUGACGCUCAGGCACGAAAGCGCGGGGAGCGAACAGG
This 253-nucleotide ribosomal RNA is filed under the name uncultured bacterium. RNAcentral describes it as "partial 16S ribosomal RNA". It matches the Rfam family "Bacterial small subunit ribosomal RNA", at positions 524 to 776 of the family's 1533-position model. The record is from RNAcentral.